GUCCCCUACGGGACGCAGCAGUGGGGAAUAUUGGGCAAUGGGCGCAAGCCUGACCCAGCAACGCCGCGUGAAGGAAGAAGGCUUUCGGGUUGUAAACUUCUUUUCUCAGGGACGAAGAAAGUGACGGUACCUGAGGAAUAAGCCACGGCUAACUACGUGCCAGCAGCCGCGGUAAUACGUAGGUGGCAAGCGUUAUCCGGAUUUACUGGGUGUAAAGGGCGUGUAGGCGGGGAAGCAAGUGAGAUGUGAAAACCACGGGCUUAACCUGUGGCCUGCAUUUGAAACUGUAU
This 290-nucleotide ribosomal RNA is filed under the name uncultured bacterium. Its description in RNAcentral is "partial 16S ribosomal RNA". It matches the Rfam family "Bacterial small subunit ribosomal RNA", at positions 334 to 638 of the family's 1533-position model. The record is from RNAcentral.